GAGUUUGAUCCUGGCUCAGGAUUAACGCUGGCGGUGCACAUAAGACAUGCAAGUCGAACGGGAAUCGUUAUUAAUGGAAAUAAGAUUUAUCUGAAAUAAGUUAAUAACAAUGAUUUUAGUGGCGGACUGGUGAGUAACACGUAAGCAACCUGCCUAUUAGAGGGGAAUAACAGUGAGAAAUCAUUGCUAAUACCGCAUAAGCUGAUAGUAUCGUAUGGUACAGUCAGAAAAGGAGAAAUCCGCUAAUAGAUGGGCUUGCGUCCGAUUAGCUAGUUGGUGGGGUAAAGGCCUACCAAGGCAACGAUCGGUAGCCGAGCUGAGAGGCUCAACGGCCACAUUGGGACUGAGAUACGGCCCAGACUCCUACGGGAGGCAGCAGUCGGGAAUAUUGCACAAUGGAGGAAACUCUGAUGCAGUGACACCGCGUAUAGGAAGAAGGUUUUCGGAUUGUAAACUAUUUUAGACAGGGAAGAAAAAAGACAGUACCUGUAGAAUAAGCUCCGGCUAACUACGUGCCAGCAGCCGCGGUAAUACGUAGGGAGCAAGCGUUAUCCGGAAUUAUUGGGUGUAAAGGGUGCGUAGACGGGACAGCAAGUUAGUUGUGAAAGCCCUCGGCUUAACUGAGGAACUGCAACUAANACUAUUGUUCUUGAGUGCAGGAGAGGAAAGCGGAAUUCCUAGUGUA
This 685-nucleotide ribosomal RNA is filed under the name uncultured bacterium. Its description in RNAcentral is "bacterial SSU rRNA". It matches the Rfam family "Bacterial small subunit ribosomal RNA", at positions 9 to 677 of the family's 1533-position model. The record is from RNAcentral.